GGGGGAGUAGCUUAAUCGGGAAAGCCCUGGCCUUCGGGUCAGCAGUUUCAGGUUCAAAUCCUGGCUCCUCCACCA
RNAcentral lists this transfer RNA (75 nucleotides) under Skermanella aerolata KACC 11604. RNAcentral's name for it is "tRNA-OTHER". It matches the Rfam family "tRNA". From Rfam's summary of the family: Transfer RNA (tRNA) molecules are approximately 80 nucleotides in length. Their secondary structure includes four short double-helical elements and three loops (D, anti-codon, and T loops). The record is from RNAcentral. Lineage: Bacteria; Pseudomonadati; Pseudomonadota; Alphaproteobacteria; Rhodospirillales; Azospirillaceae. RNAcentral also lists the same sequence under 2 other names.